GUCUAUAUGUAGUAUAUACUGGGGGCUGAGAUAUUCUAUAUAUAUAUAUAUAUAUAUAUAGUGUAUACUGGGGGCUGAGUCUAUAUGUAGUAUGUACUGGGGGCUGAGUCUAUAUGUAGUAUGUACUGGGGGCUGAGUCUAUAUGUAGUAUAUACUGGGGGCUGAGUCUAUAUAUAGUAUGUACUGGGGGCUGAGUCUAUAUGUAGUAUGUACUGGGGCUCAAUGUCCCAAAUGGUGCACUAUUCCCUCUAUAGUGUACUACUUUCGGCGAUGGGCCCUAUUCUGUAGUGCACUACAUUUGACCAUGGGCCCUAUUCUGUAGUGCACUACUUUCGACUAUGGGCCCUAUGGGCUAUUCUAUUGAAUACAAAAUAAGUCCAUAGACUCCAGUAGAAUUCAGUUGUGGAUAUGUUUUAUACCUGAUUAAACUCAGUAGAAGGGCUGGUUUGUAAUUGACAUAAAAUGUAUUGUUAUGUCAUGAUCUGGAUGGAACCUGUGUUUUUUUAAAUUUUGUUCUGUUCCGGAACAGUAUAGAUCCCUUUCGUUGUCAGUUCUGGUUCUGUUCCUUGAAAUUCCGUUUUUCUUUUCUGUUCCCUGAACUGGUUCCAACCCCUGGUUUAGAAUAUUGUAAAGUAUCCAUUAAUUAAAUAAUAAAUGC
Oncorhynchus tshawytscha (Chinook salmon) is the source of this 658-nucleotide long non-coding RNA. The record is from Ensembl. NCBI's taxonomy places the organism in Eukaryota, Metazoa, Chordata, Actinopteri, Salmoniformes, Salmonidae.